This is a long non-coding RNA of Prionailurus viverrinus (fishing cat), 137 nucleotides long. RefSeq lists it as uncharacterized. The record is from RefSeq and is a predicted model, not a curated record. NCBI's taxonomy places the organism in Eukaryota, Metazoa, Chordata, Mammalia, Carnivora, Felidae. The transcript is spliced from 3 exons.
AGAUGUGUUUAAGAGACAGAGAAAGCCAAAAACCCUGCACUUGUUGCCACGUCUCCAUCUUACCACAUGUGAAACCUUGGAAUCAUGAGACACAUAUGACAAAACUAGAGGAGUGUGUCAGGAGCAUUCAAGCAGAC